Long non-coding RNA from Onychostoma macrolepis, 1204 nucleotides. RefSeq lists it as uncharacterized. NCBI's taxonomy places the organism in Eukaryota, Metazoa, Chordata, Actinopteri, Cypriniformes, Cyprinidae. The transcript has 3 exons. The record is from RefSeq and is a predicted model, not a curated record.
ACGAUAAAAAUGACGGUUAUUUUCGUCUGUAUUACUAUUCAACUGUAACUGUAUGUUACUAUGGUUACCGAUGUUUAUAGGAAGCACAUUAAUAUAGAACGUGAUUAAACUGACCUGGAACUACCUGCAGUUCAACGAAUUUAAUCAACACCUGCCAGCCAAUCAGAAUCCAGUAUUCAGACAGACCAUGGCAUAAAGCGGUAUGUUCUUAUUUUUACCAGCUUCUGCGAGCGUGUAUGGCGUCUGGCUUCAGAAUCUCACUGUGACUUCAGGUAAGAUUUGUAUUUAAUUAACGUUAUUUGUCUGUACCAGUCAUGUUUUUGACGCAUGCAUUGGCAGAAAAAAAUAAAAUAAAAUUAGUUAACAUUAACAUUCUUUUAUUUGCAACAUGAAGUGUAUUUAUUUCUGAUUUCCUGAACAAUUUGGCUUCAUUGUAAUGAGGUUAAUGAUCUUUGAAAAACCAUGAUUAUGAACAUACAAUUACCGUACUUUGUCUUGAGCUGAUCAGCAAACUGUGGUAGUGUUGGUUGAUUGGUGUCUAUAUUUGUUCAAGCUUGACAACCUUAUGACUUUAUUUUCUAAUAUAUAUAUUUCUCAUUACAGAUAAGAACAAAGAUUAAAUUGUAAGAAGGGUUGCUUAUAAAAGCAUACAGUACAUCUGAAACUGCUGAGGCUGGGAAGGUUUUUGACUAUAUUUCCAACCAGAUCAGCUGCUAUAGAAGAAAAAAUGAAAUCUGAGUGCAGAGACAAGCAAAGGAAUACUGCAAGACACUACUGACUAGGCUGUGCCCAGGUCUCUGGAACCUGCGACAACGCUCAGCUCCAUUGGCCCUUAGUCUGCGGCUUCGGAUCCACCAGCUCUGUCUCCAUCGGUCGGCAGCCACACCAUCUACAUCUUGGCUCCCCGCUCCCUCGACUCCGCCGUGUGUUGUCAGCAUUGGGAUGCUCUGGGUCUGUGCCAUGUGCCAAACACCAUCUAAGCCGCCAGGGCAUCAUCGUCAUCCUCUCAUCACCAUCCCUACACCACAUCCUGCCAUCAUCCUGCACCUUUGCCUCUCACCAUCCCUUCACCAUCUCCUUGUCCACCUCCAAAACCCCUCCAUCCCUCACUAUUCUGUUGCUUGAACUUUAUCAUCUUCAGUCUUUGCACACACAUCUAUUCACUUUACAUGUUUUUUUUUCUUCAGAAAAUUGCAUUGUAAUU